Molecule: transfer RNA, 74 nt
Filed under: Paenalicyclobacillus ferrooxydans
Lineage: Bacteria; Bacillati; Bacillota; Bacilli; Caryophanales; Alicyclobacillaceae
Also listed under: 1 other name
Description: Alicyclobacillus ferrooxydans tRNA
Rfam family: tRNA
About the family: Transfer RNA (tRNA) molecules are approximately 80 nucleotides in length. Their secondary structure includes four short double-helical elements and three loops (D, anti-codon, and T loops). Further hydrogen bonds mediate the characteristic L-shaped molecular structure. tRNAs have two regions of fundamental functional importance: the anti-codon, which is responsible for specific mRNA codon recognition, and the 3' end, to which the tRNAs corresponding amino acid is attached (by aminoacyl-tRNA synthetases). tRNAs cope with the degeneracy of the genetic code in two manners: having more than one tRNA (with a specific anti-codon) for a particular amino acid; and 'wobble' base-pairing, i.e. permitting non-standard base-pairing at the 3rd anti-codon position.
Source: Rfam by way of RNAcentral
CGGGUAUUAGCGCAGCUUGGUAGCGCGCCUGCCUUGGGAGCAGGAGGUCGCAGGUUCAAAUCCUGCAUACCCGA